AUACUUUCCUGGCAGAGGAGAUACCAUGAUCAUGAUGGUAGUUUUCCCAGGGUAAGGCUCAUCCAUUGCACUCUGGGUGUGCUGCCCCCUGUGAUUUCCCCAACUGCGGGAAACUCCACUGCAUAAUUUGUACUAGUGGGGCACUGCGUUCAUGCUUUCCCCUU
RNAcentral lists this small nuclear RNA (164 nucleotides) under Salvator merianae (Argentine black and white tegu). RNAcentral describes it as "U1 spliceosomal RNA (ENSSMRG00000013107.1)". It matches the Rfam family "U1 spliceosomal RNA". From Rfam's summary of the family: U1 is a small nuclear RNA (snRNA) component of the spliceosome (involved in pre-mRNA splicing). Its 5' end forms complementary base pairs with the 5' splice junction, thus defining the 5' donor site of an intron. There are significant differences in sequence and secondary structure between metazoan and yeast U1 snRNAs, the latter being much longer (568 nucleotides as compared to 164 nucleotides in human). Lineage: Eukaryota; Metazoa; Chordata; Lepidosauria; Squamata; Teiidae. The record is from Rfam by way of RNAcentral.